Macaca mulatta (Rhesus monkey) is the source of this 1637-nucleotide non-coding RNA. The record is from RefSeq and is a predicted model, not a curated record. NCBI's taxonomy places the organism in Eukaryota, Metazoa, Chordata, Mammalia, Primates, Cercopithecidae.
GUUCCUAUUUGGCCAUCUUGCCAGCAAUCCCUGUAAAAAGUUUUUAACUUUUUACAGGGAUUAAAUAAGUUCAAUAAUAACAUUGUGUGUAAGUGGAUUCAAACAAAAAGGCAGACAGUGGCUGAAUGGAUUAAAAAAAAAAAAAAAAAAAAAAAAACCAACUAUAUGCUACCUACUAGAAACUCACUUCACCUAUAAAGGCACACAAAGACUGAAAGUGAAGUUGUGGAAAAAGGUAUUUCAUGUAACUGUAAACCAAAUGAGCAAAAGUAUCUAUACUUAUGUCAGAUAAAAUAGACUAUAUAUCAAAGACUAUAAAAAGAGUCAAAUAAGAUUACUAUGUAAAGAUAAAAAGGUCAAUUCAGCAAGAGUAUAUAACAAAUAUAAAUAUCUAUGUAGCAAACAGCAGAGCUCCCAAGUAUAUAAAGCAAAUAUUAAUGCAUUUAAAGGGAGAUAUACACAGCAAUACAAUAACACUAGAGGACUUAACACCCAACUCUCACUAAUGGACAGAUCAUCCAGAUAGAAAACCAACAAAGAGGGGCACAUAUUCUCAGGAUCUCCUGAGGACUGUGUCAUGGGCCAUGGUCACUCAUACUUGGCUCAGAGUAAAUAGCUUCAAAUAUUUUACAGAGUUUUACUCUUUUGGUCAACAAUCAUUUGGCACCCAAACACAUGGGGACUAAGAGAAGGCUUGGGACCCUGAAGGAGUUACCCAAAGUCAGAGCUAAGUUACCAGCAGAGGCCCAUUGGAAGCCUCCCCGACUUUGAGCUUCUCAUCCAGUGGAACUGGAAGAUGUUGUUUAAGGAUCCUACUUUUAGUUCAGAGGUGUAUUCUAAAGGAUCUUCUCCAUUGCUUUUUCUCCAAAAUUAAUCUCUACUUGGCUUGUCUGUGUGCAUUUGCAUGAGGAACUGAACCAUUGUUUUCAUAGAUAAAUGAGAGACUGAGUUUUCUCAGCUCCAAAGAGAAAGGCCAUUUUGCUCCUUCCAGCUGAAAGGUGACUCUCGGUGACCAAAAGUCUCGUGGGAUUGUCUGUGGGGUUGACCCCUGUGAGGUGCAGUGGCCCUACAGAGAAUCGUCAACAAAAUUAUUUUAAAAAAGCCUCAUCUGGGAAGCACAUAUGGGAACUGGUCACUUCCCGCUUUGGGUUCUCCUGGAGGUGCUAGACCCCUGGAAAGAGAAACUGACACAUGCAAGAAGACAGCAGUGACUCACUGGUGAUGCUGUGAAGUCCCAUCUGUAAUGAGCACACACUUCGACCCAUUCCACCAAAACCCUAAGCCAUAGCUCAGUUCCUCCUUUUAAGAAGAAUAACAACAACAACAAAAAAAAAAAACAAGGAGAAUGACUCCCUUUCAAGCACUCUGUUGGUUUUAUGGCACCCUUAUUUCACAGGGUUUGUGUAAAAUGGAAAUGUUAUGGUCUUUGUGCACAUUUACAUCAAGGAAAAAGAGCCCUAAGGUCAACCUGCAAACUAUAGAGUUCUUAAAUUCUCUUUUUCUCUAUUUUCUUUUCUGCCUACUUUAAAUCUGCUGUUACUUUUCUACUGAGAUAAAAACCACUGUUUGGAUACAACCAUUGAGUUUUUUUUUUCUUUUUUUCUUUAGCAGGCCAAUAAAUUUGUAUUAAUAUCUCA